RNAcentral lists this ribosomal RNA (443 nucleotides) under uncultured bacterium. Its description in RNAcentral is "partial 16S ribosomal RNA". It matches the Rfam family "Bacterial small subunit ribosomal RNA", at positions 338 to 795 of the family's 1533-position model. The record is from RNAcentral.
CCUACGGGUGGCAGCAGUGGGGAAUAUUGCGCAAUGGGCGCAACCCUGACCCAGCAACGCCGCGUGAAUGAAGAAGGCUUUCGGGUUGUAAAGCUCUUUCAGCAGGGACGAAACCAGUGACGGUACCUGACGAAUAAACCGCGGCUACCUCCGUGCCAGCAGCCGCGGUAAUACGUAGGGGGCAAGCGUUAUCCGGAUUUAUUGGGUGUAAAGGUCGUGUAGGCGGGAGGGCAAGUCUGAUGUGAAAAGCCAGGGCACAACCCUUGGACUGCAUUUGACACUGUGUUUCUUGAGUGCUGGAGAGGUAAGGGGAAUUCCGGGUGUAGCGGUGAAAUGCGUAGAUAUAAGGAGGAACACCAGUGGCGAAGGCGGUUUGCUGGACAGUAACUGACGCUGAGGAGCGAAAGCGUGGGGAGCAAACAGGAUUAGAUACCCUUGUAGUC